RNAcentral lists this ribosomal RNA (448 nucleotides) under uncultured bacterium. Its description in RNAcentral is "SSU rRNA". It matches the Rfam family "Bacterial small subunit ribosomal RNA", at positions 26 to 518 of the family's 1533-position model. The record is from RNAcentral.
AGAACGAACGCUGGCGGCAGGCUUAACACAUGCAAGUCGAACGCUCAUAGCAAUAUGGGAGUGGCGCACGGGUGAGUAACACGUGGGAACAUGCCUUUCAGUAUGGGAUAACAGCGGGAAACUGCUGCUAAUACCGUAUAUUCCCUCCGGGGGAAAGAUUUAUCGCUGAAAGAUUGGCCCGCGUUAGAUUAGGUAGUUGGUGGGGUAAUGGCCUACCAAGCCUACGAUCUAUAGCUGGUCUGAGAGGACGACCAGCCACACUGGAACUGAGACACGGUCCAGACUCCUACGGGAGGCAGCAGUGGGGAAUAUUGGACAAUGGGCGAAAGCCUGAUCCAGCCAUGCCGCGUGAGUGAUGAAGGCCUUAGGUUGUAAAGCUCUUUUGUCUAGGGAAGAUAAUGACGGUACCUGAAGAAUAAGCACCGGCUAACUUCGUGCCAGCAGCCGC